RNAcentral lists this non-coding RNA (463 nucleotides) under Strigamia maritima. RNAcentral's name for it is "Eukaryotic large subunit ribosomal RNA". It matches the Rfam family "Eukaryotic large subunit ribosomal RNA", at positions 1978 to 2243 of the family's 3401-position model. The record is from Rfam by way of RNAcentral. Lineage: Eukaryota; Metazoa; Arthropoda; Chilopoda; Geophilomorpha; Linotaeniidae.
ACGGUUCUAACGGCGCGAGGAAAAGCUCGGCCUCUGCGGCCGCAAAAAGCGGCGUGCGCGGACCUUCUCGGACGGGCGGAGCCCGGACCAGCGUCGGGGCCUUCCCGUGGAAUGCCUCAGCUGCGUGGCUCGGGGAAAUAAAAACGGGCGCGGUCGGCUGCUUGUCGCGGCGAACGUCGUUACCUCGCCCGUAAAACGGCGUGGGCGGCCAAGCCGUGGCUCGCUCCUUCCGUGCUCGUCCUCGGGCGCACUUCGUCCGGCGCCUAACAGCCGACUCAGAACUGGCACGGACCGGGGGAAUCCGACUGUCUAAUUAAAACAAAGCAUUGCGAUGGCCGAAGCUCGGUGUUGACGCAAUGUGAUUUCUGCCCAGUGCCCCGACACUGGGCGCCUCACGCGUUUUCGCACCAAAAGCAUAAUGCAGUUCUCGGACAUUUUUUACGCUUCAAAACGGGAGUCCUUC